Molecule: transfer RNA, 90 nt
Filed under: Candidatus Aquicultor primus
Lineage: Bacteria; Bacillati; Actinomycetota; Candidatus Aquicultoria; Candidatus Aquicultorales; Candidatus Aquicultoraceae
Also listed under: 2 other names
Description: Actinobacteria bacterium GWC2_53_9 tRNA-Ser
Rfam family: tRNA
About the family: Transfer RNA (tRNA) molecules are approximately 80 nucleotides in length. Their secondary structure includes four short double-helical elements and three loops (D, anti-codon, and T loops). Further hydrogen bonds mediate the characteristic L-shaped molecular structure. tRNAs have two regions of fundamental functional importance: the anti-codon, which is responsible for specific mRNA codon recognition, and the 3' end, to which the tRNAs corresponding amino acid is attached (by aminoacyl-tRNA synthetases). tRNAs cope with the degeneracy of the genetic code in two manners: having more than one tRNA (with a specific anti-codon) for a particular amino acid; and 'wobble' base-pairing, i.e. permitting non-standard base-pairing at the 3rd anti-codon position.
Source: RNAcentral
GGAGGAGUCGCAUAGUUCGGCCUAGUGCGCGCGACUGGAAAUCGCGUUGGCGUUAAUAGCGCCUCGAGGGUUCGAAUCCCUCCUCCUCCG